GUGCUUGCUUCAGUAGCACAUAUACUAAAACUGGAAUGAUACAGAGAAGAUUAGCAUGGCCCCUGCACAAGGAUGACAUGCAAGUUCGUGAAGCAUUCCAUAUUUUA
RNAcentral lists this small nuclear RNA (107 nucleotides) under Myotis davidii. Lineage: Eukaryota; Metazoa; Chordata; Mammalia; Chiroptera; Vespertilionidae. The record is from RNAcentral.